Molecule: transfer RNA, 68 nt
Filed under: Faughnia haani
Lineage: Eukaryota; Metazoa; Arthropoda; Malacostraca; Stomatopoda; Parasquillidae
Description: tRNA-Pro
Source: RNAcentral
CAAGGGGUAGUUUGAAUAAAAAUAUUAGUUUUGGGAAUUAAAGAUAGGAAGUUGUCUCCUCUCCUUGA